Solenopsis invicta (red fire ant) is the source of this 953-nucleotide long non-coding RNA. RefSeq lists it as uncharacterized. The transcript has 2 exons. The record is from RefSeq and is a predicted model, not a curated record. Lineage: Eukaryota; Metazoa; Arthropoda; Insecta; Hymenoptera; Formicidae.
AGUAAUGAAUGUUUACUUUUUAAAUAAUAAUAACGAAUUACUUUUAAAAAGUAACUUUUCCAUUCUUGCAUAAUGGUUGCAUAUUUUUAAUUGAAAUGAAAUGCAUGUAUACGCGGCCGCAAAACGGCCAGGCAUGACAUCCAUAUAAGUAAAGCGUAACGUCGGGCAAUUACAUUUUUGCGAUGGUAAACCGCGAGUCGCAAAAUACAAAGAGAUCUAUUCUGGCGAGGGCAUAGGCGGGGUAGAAUUUUGACGCGACGCAAUUUCUAGGAUGAUAGAAUAUGCCGCCGGUCGUGAAGCGGGAUCGUAUCUCUCUCUCUCUGGUCGUUCGUUCGUUCGUUCGUUCGUUCGUUCGUUCGUUCGUUCGUUCGUUCGUUCGUUCGUUCGUUCGUUCGUUCGUUCGUUCGUUCGUUCGUUCGUUCGUUCGGUCGGAUGGGUACCGGAGGUGGCAUCGUAGUAGUAAUAGUAGUAGUACCACGACGGAUGGUGCGGUUGUUUGCGAGUCGCCGGUGCCUGUUCGACGGCGGCGGUGCUUGUGCCACUUUCACUUGGUUACAUAACCAAGAGAGAGGAACAAUGUGACUCAAUGUCCUCGCCGCGCGAAUUGCCGAGUACAAGCUAAUCGCAUAAGACCGAGAAAAUGGAACGACUGCUAUUUGCUGACGAGUAGCAGGGCUAAGGAAAAAAAAAGUGGCACGGCCAUUCUACAGGCUGGUGAACUGACGUACACAGGAACAAAGCGGCGAGCCUCGUGCCAUCGUCGUGACUUGACGUAAACGAAGGAAGAUCUUGCACCAAGGAUGAGACUUUUGUCCUCGUACAUGGAAUUCAGGAAGGAAUAGACCUAAUAAAAAUUGCUGGAAAUAUUUAUGAACGACUAUAUUAAAAUAUAUUUCACGUUCGCUCGUAUAUGGCGAUGGUGAUUAAUGAAAUAUAAUUAUAUAAAAUAAAAA